CCUACGGGGUGCAGCAGUGAGGAAUAUUGGUCAAUGGACGAGAGUCUGAACCAGCCAAGUAGCGUGAAGGAUGACUGCCCUAUGGGUUGUAAACUUCUUUUAUAUGGGAAUAAAACGUUCCACGUGUGGGAUUUUGUAUGUACCAUAUGAAUAAGGAUCGGCUAACUCCGUGCCAGCAGCCGCGGUAAUACGGAGGAUCCGAGCGUUAUCCGGAUUUAUUGGGUUUAAAGGGAGCGUAGGUGGAUUGUUAAGUCAGUUGUGAAAGUUUGCGGCUCAACCGUAAAAUUGCAGUUAAAACUGGCAGUCUUGAGUACAGUAGAGGUGGGCGGAAUGCGUGGUGUAGCGGUGAAAUGCUUAGAUAUCACGAAGAACUCCGAUUGCGAAGGCAGUUCACUGGACUGCAACUGACACUGAGGCUCGAAAGUGUGGGUAUCAAACAGGAUUAGAUACCCUUGUAGUC
RNAcentral lists this ribosomal RNA (460 nucleotides) under uncultured bacterium. Its description in RNAcentral is "partial 16S ribosomal RNA". It matches the Rfam family "Bacterial small subunit ribosomal RNA", at positions 338 to 795 of the family's 1533-position model. The record is from RNAcentral.